GUCCACGCCGUAAACGAUGGGUGCUAGGUGUGGGGGGUGUCGACUCCCCCCGUGCAGAAGCUAACGCAUUAAGCACCCCGCCUGGGGAGUACGGCCGCAAGGCUAAAACUCAAAGGAAUUGACGGGGGCCUGCACAAGCAGCGGAGCAUGUGGUUUAAUUCGACGCGACGCGAAGAACCUUACCAAGGCUUGACAUGCACUUGAAUGUCGGAGAAAUUCGGCAGCCCUUCGGGGCAAGUGCACAGGUGGUGCAAUGGCUGUCGU
RNAcentral lists this ribosomal RNA (264 nucleotides) under uncultured bacterium. RNAcentral describes it as "partial 16S ribosomal RNA". It matches the Rfam family "Bacterial small subunit ribosomal RNA", at positions 793 to 1055 of the family's 1533-position model. The record is from RNAcentral.